UACAAGAAACGAGGCCGCGUGCGUGCGCUCGCCCGCCCGGCCCCGCUCCUUACCUUGCCUACUGCACCGUUUGUUGCUUCCUGGCGGCGGACUGCCCGCCGCCAGGGACGUUGAUACAACCCUGUAUAGAAGCAUUGAAGCUCUGAGAAAACGCGAAAUCGUACAACUUUCAACAAUGGAUCUCUUGGUUCUGGCAUCGAUGAAGAACGCAGCGAAAUGCGAUAAGUAGUGUGAAUUGCAGAAUUCAGUGAAUCAUCGAAUCUUUGAACGCACAUUGCGCCCCUUGGCAUUCCAUGGGGCAUGCCUGUUCGAGCGUCAUCUAAACCCUCAAGCCCCCGGCUUGGUGUUGGGUGCCUGUCCCCGCUCCCCGCGCGGACUCACCCCAAAUGCAUUGGCAGCCGCCUCUCGGCUUCUUGCGCAGCACAGUGCGCAGCGAGGCGAGGUGAGGCGUGCGUCCAGCAAGCAACCACCCAAGUUUGACCUCGGAUCAGGUAGGGAUACCCGCUGAACUUAAGCAUAUCAAUAAGCGGAGGAAAAGAAACCAACUGGGAUUGCCCUAGUAACGGCGAGUGAAGCGGCAACAGCUCAAAUUUGAAAUCUGGCCUCCUUCGGUG
RNAcentral lists this ribosomal RNA (614 nucleotides) under fungal sp. Its description in RNAcentral is "eukaryotic LSU rRNA". The stretch from base 165 to 318 matches the Rfam family "5.8S ribosomal RNA". Lineage: Eukaryota; Fungi. The record is from RNAcentral.